Arachis ipaensis is the source of this 414-nucleotide non-coding RNA. Lineage: Eukaryota; Viridiplantae; Streptophyta; Magnoliopsida; Fabales; Fabaceae. The record is from RefSeq and is a predicted model, not a curated record.
CAAUUUCGUGCACCAAUCCGCCACUGCUGUAAUCCCUCUUCUCUGCCUUGCACAGCCUGAGCCGUCUCUGGUCGUCGUCGCUGCUCAAUGGUCGUCGUCGGCUCGUCAAUGCCUCACGUCCUCGCUGCUCUGCCUGAGCCGUCUCUGCUGUAAUCCUCACUGCUCGCUACAAUCAUGUCUCAAGUUAGGGUUGCUCUUAUGAUACUGAUGGCUUACCUUUCAUACAUGCUUGUUGAGGCAUGUUUUUGCAACAUUGUCAUUCAUUGCUGAGAUAUUUAUAUUCCUUUAUGUUGGGAUGGAUGCACUGGACAUAGAGAAGUGGCGAUUCAUAAGCCAAAGUCCUGGAAAAUCAGUUGGGAUCAGUUCAGUGCUUCUAGGAUUUAUCCUAGUUGGAAGAGCAACAUUUGUUUUUCC